This 253-nucleotide ribosomal RNA is filed under the name uncultured bacterium. Its description in RNAcentral is "partial 16S ribosomal RNA". It matches the Rfam family "Bacterial small subunit ribosomal RNA", at positions 524 to 776 of the family's 1533-position model. The record is from RNAcentral.
UACGUAGGGUGCAAGCGUUAAUCGGAAUUACUGGGCGUAAAGCGUGCGCAGGCGGUGAUGUAAGACAGGUGUGAAAUCCCCGGGCUUAACCUGGGAACGGCAUUUGGGACUGCAAGGCUGGAGUGUGGCAGAGGAGACUGGAAUUCCUGGUGUAGCAGUGAAAUGCGUAGAUAUCAGGAGGAAUACCGAUGGCGAAGGCAGGUCUCUGGGCUGACACUGACGCUCAUGCACGAAAGCGUGGGGAGCAAACAGG